CCUACGGGGGGCAGCAGUGAGGAAUAUUGGUCAAUGGACGAGAGCCUGAACCAGCCAAGUAGCGUGAAGGAUGACGGCCCUAUGGGUUGUAAACUUCUUUUAUAAAGGAAUAAAACGAGGCACGUGUGGCUUUUUGCAUGUACUUUAUGAAUAAGGCUCGGCUAACUCCGUGCCAGCAGCCGCGGUAAUACGGAGGAUCCGAGCGUUAUCCGGAUUUAUUGGGGUUAAAGGGGGCGUAGGCGGCCUUUUAAGGCAGCGGGGAAAGUAUGUGGCUCAACCCGAGUAUUGCCGUUGAAACUGGGGGGCUUGAGUAUGCUUGAGGCAUGCGGAAUGCGUGGUGUAGCGGUGAAAUGCUUAGAUAUCACGCAGAACCCCGAUUGCGAAGGCAGCCUGCC
RNAcentral lists this ribosomal RNA (395 nucleotides) under uncultured bacterium. RNAcentral's name for it is "partial 16S ribosomal RNA". It matches the Rfam family "Bacterial small subunit ribosomal RNA", at positions 338 to 730 of the family's 1533-position model. The record is from RNAcentral.